Molecule: RNA transcript, 4587 nt
Organism: Topomyia yanbarensis
Lineage: Eukaryota; Metazoa; Arthropoda; Insecta; Diptera; Culicidae
Exons: 2
Source: RefSeq, a predicted model, not a curated record
UUAGCACAUAUUAGGGAAUCAAAUGGAAAAUUUUGUCGUGACAAUUCAAUUUUCUAAAACAAAUUGUUACGAAUCACGGCUAUUCGUGCGCACCUAACAUCCAACAUCCGAUCUACACAUACCUACACGCACGUGAUGGGUCCACACCUCACAUAAAUGGAACAAAUUAGGUCAUCAUUGGUUUUGAGAGCAGAACAAAAUUAGAAGUGAACUCAGCUAGGCGUGCUCAAAUUAUUUACCUAUAAUCUCUUAAAAUUACUUAGUAAGAUUAACUAAUCGUGGUAUCUAGUGGUAAAUUCCUUAAUACUACCUUAAUAGCUACUAUAGAUCUCGGUAAGAUCAUGCAUACGUGCAAGUAUAUUGAUUAAAUAUUUCCCAAAAUGUGCUAAAACCUAACCUUAAAACUACCUUAUAGGCGAACAUCUCGAACUUAACCAUUAUACGAUUGCUGAACUAAACUAAGAUAGAACCGUUGUGAAUUACACCAUAUUGUUGGUGAGUUACCAAAAUCACUUUAUAGUUGUGUAGUAGCAUUAUAUACUAAUUAACACACAUUAGGCACACCAGUCUGGAUUAACGGUGAUACCGUAAGAGGGGCGUCAACCGUCUCUGACACCAUUAUAGAGCAGUAAACGUAAGUUAAACAUAGUAGUGUUAAUACCCUAAAUAAUGAAUUGAUUGUCGCACCACAGGAAUUUUAUAAUCCUCGUUAAUAAAAAAGAAAUGUUUCACCAAGUAAAAAUUAUAGAGAAGGACCAACAGUGCCAACGCUUUCUCUGGAGAAACAUAGAGGGGAGAGUGGAAACAUACGUGGUACGUGUAAUGACAUUCGGGGCUUGUUGUUCUCCGAGCUGUGCUCAAUAUAUAAAAAAUAUCAAUGCUGAACGCUAUGCACAAAAGUACCCAGCAGCAGCAGAAGUAAUUCUGAAAAAACAUUACGUCGAUGAUAUGCUGAUCAGCGUAGAGACUGAGGAGGCAGCCAUUAGAAUUGCGCAAGAAGUGAAGUACGUGCACGAGCAGGGUGGGUUCCACAUUCGUAACUGGAUAAGCAACUCUAACAGUGUGACGAUAGCGCUGCACGAAGAUAACGCCGAGGAGAAAAAUCUUGACUUGUCUUCCGGAAUGAGUACUGAGAAAGUGCUAGGGAUGUGGUGGUGUACUGCAACGGAUGUCUUCACAUAUAAAAUCGGCUGGAACCGGUAUGAUCGAGCCAUACUAGGCGGCCAACGCUGCCCCACAAAAAGGGAAAUGCUUAGAGUACUCAUGACGAUAUUCGACCCCCUUGGCCUGAUCGCUCAUUUUCUUAUGUUCUUGAAAAUUCUGCUUCAAGAGGUUUGGCGAUCUGGUGUUCAAUGGGACGAUCCUAUCUCCAACGUAUCAUUCGGAAAAUGGAAGCAGUGGCUGGACGUUUUACCCCAAGUGGAACAGGUGACGAUCCCACGAUGCUACCGCCUUCGAGUCUCCUCACCCACCCAGUGCGAGACACAACUGCAUACGUUCGUAGAUGCAAGCGAAAACGGGUUUGCGGCUGCAUCGUAUCUUCGAUUCGUUCAGAACGGAGUGAUAGAGUGCAUACUGGUCUCAGCGAAAACGCGGGUUGCCCCGCUAAAGUUCACGUCCAUCCCCAAGCUAGAGCUCCAAGCAGCUAUUAUCGGCGCGAGACUCGCUCGAUCGAUUGCACAAUCUCUUUCAUUUUCCAUCUCCAAACGAUUCUGGUCCGACUCACGGGACGUGAUCUGCUGGCUAAAUUCGGAUCACCGACGCUACUCUCAAUACGUGGCUUUCCGAGUCAGCGAGAUUCUUGAAACUACGGAGACAAGUGAGUGGCGCUGGGUACCCAGCAAGCUAAACGUAGCCGAUGAUGCCACAAAAUGGUCUGGAAAACCUGAUUUAACUCGUGGUAGCAGAUGGUUUAAUGGUCCGCAGUUUCUCUGGCUUCAGGAGGAAGAAUGGCCCCAGUGUGCGAUUAAAAUCAGUACCACUACCACUGAGCUGCGUCCCCGUCUAUUAAAGCACUCCGUAGUUCCUAAUGCGAUCAUCUGUUUAUCCAAUUUUUCGAGCUGGAAGAAACUGGUCAACGUAGUAGCACUAGUGCAUCGAUUCCCUGAUAACUGUCUUAGGAAGAAACGAAAAAUGGAAACGGUGACAGGACCACCAAACAGCGAUGAACUACAUAAGUCAGAAAGCUUUUUACUCCGUCUUGUGCAAUCUGAAACAUACCCAGAAGAGAUGAACAUUCUCCUCAGAGCACAAAAGUUCCCAAACGAGUUACCAAGUCCGAUGCCAAAGAACAGCGAGCUGUAUCAGUUAACUCCUGUACUUGACCAAAAUGGUAUCAUAAGAAUGCAGGGCAGAGCACGAUAUUUCGACUAUCUGUCAGAAGACGCCAGGAACCCAAUUAUCCUACCUCGCAACCAUUACUUGACCACCUUGAUCAUCGCACACUACCACCAUAAGUAUCAUCAUCAAAAUCACGAAACAGUCAUUAAUGAGAUACGUCAAAAAUAUAAAGUGUCUCGGCUUCGUGUAUGUUAUGCACAGGCCAGGAAACAGUGUCAACGAUGCAAAAAUGAAGGCGCCACUCCACGCCCGCCACUUAUGGCCAAUCUCCCACCGGUACGUCUCGCCGCGUUCUCCCGACCAUUUACGCAUGUGGGAAUCGACUACUUCGGACCGAUCGAGGUAACUGUAGGUAGAAGAGUGGAGAAACGCUGGGGAAUGCUGGCUACCUGCUUAACGAUCCGUGCGAUCCAUAUAGAGGUGGUGCACUCCCUUAGCACCGACUCAUGCAUCAUGGCACUUCGUAAAUUUAUCGCCCGACGGGGUACCCCUAGAACGAUACACAGCGACCGUGGAACCAAUUUCAUUGGCGCAUGCCGUGAACUGAAACAAGCUGCAGCUAACAUCAACCAAGAAGAUAUAGUAAAGGAAUUCUCCAGUACCGAAACGACAUGGUCGUUCAACCCCCCCGCUUCGCCGCACAUGGGCGGUUGCUGGGAGCGCCUUAUCCGAACCGUAAAGAAGAACUUGAUGUCUAUCUAUCCAUCGCGUAAACCAACAGACGAAGUCCUGCAGAAUCUACUGACCGAGAUCGAGAACAUCGUAAAUUCUCGGCCUCUGACCCAUGUCCCAAUCGACGAUGAUUCCGAUCCCGCUCUAACUCCAAAUCACUUCCUGCUUGGGUCUUCUAAUGGCUCAAAACCCCUCAGCACAAACGACGAUAGUGGACAUGCGUUGAAACAGGGAUGGCGCACAUCACAAAUCUUAGCCAACCAGUACUGGAAGCGUUGGGUAACAGAUUACCUCCCAGAAAUCACUCGAAGGACGAAAUGGUUCCUUCAUACGAAGCCUAUAUCCAAAGGCGACGUCGUGGUUAUUGUAGAUCCCCGAUUACCUCGAAACUGCUGGCCGAAAGGAAAAGUUAUUGAAACUUGUGUUGCGAAGGAUGGCCAGAUUCGCUCAGCAACCGUGAGAACAGCGAAUGGUGUGUACACUGAAAGAAAUCCAAACGUUAAUUCUAUUUGCUUCAAACCGCUUAAAAUUCAUAUGAAGAAGAAAUGCUAUUGUUAUCACGCGCACACAUACCUUCUAUGUGUCAACUGUAUAAACUAUGUAUGCACACACAUAAGUUAUAUGUGCAUAUUAUUAUAGAAUGGGGUUUUAUGUGCCUAAUAGUUAUGAAAUGUGAAUGUAAGAUUAAUAUUUCUUGUGAAUACACACAUUAGGUUUAUGUGCCAGCAAAUAGUGUCUAUAUGCCUCCGUUAAUUGCAAAAAUCUAUGUGUAAAAUCAAUAGGCAUAACGUUUACUUUUUUUUGAGUGUACGAGCGUCCCGUUUCUAAAUUGGCGGUACUGGACGUAAGGCGCGACGCACAGUAAGCCAACCCAGUGCUUGGCGUACCCGGGGGGACUGUUACGAAUCACGGCUAUUCGUGCGCACCUAACAUCCAACAUCCGAUCUACACAUACCUACACGCACGUGAUGGGUCCACACCUCACAUAAAUGGAACAAAUUAGGUCAUCAUUGGUUUUGAGAGCAGAACAAAAUUAGAAGUGAACUCAGCUAGGCGUGCUCAAAUUAUUUACCUAUAAUCUCUUAAAAUUACUUAGUAAGAUUAACUAAUCGUGGUAUCUAGUGGUAAAUUCCUUAAUACUACCUUAAUAGCUACUAUAGAUCUCGGUAAGAUCAUGCAUACGUGCAAGUAUAUUGAUUAAAUAUUUCCCAAAAUGUGCUAAAACCUAACCUUAAAACUACCUUAUAGGCGAACAUCUCGAACUUAACCAUUAUACGAUUGCUGAACUAAACUAAGAUAGAACCGUUGUGAAUUACACCAUAUUGUUGGCACACCAGUCUGGAUUAACGGUGAUACCGUAAGAGGGGCGUCAACCGUCUCUGACACCAUUAUAGAGCAGUAAACGUAAGUUAAACAUAGUAGUGUUAAUACCCUAAAUAAUGAAUUGAUUGUCGCACCACAGGAAUUUUAUAAUCCUCGUUAAUAAUAAACGGAUUUAUAAUUACGGAAAAAAGUUCUUAUCGUACGGUGCUGCCAACACAAAUAUUUGUAAUUUUGCGAACAAAAAAUUAAAAA